AACGUAGGUCACAAGCGUUGUCCGGAAUUACUGGGUGUAAAGGGAGCGCAGGCGGGAAGACAAGUUGGAAGUGAAAUACAUGGGCUCAACCCAUGAACUGCUUUCAAAACUGUUUUUCUUGAGUAGUGCAGAGGUAGGCGGAAUUCCCGGUGUAGCGGUGGAAUGCGUAGAUAUCGGGAGGAACACCAGUGGCGAAGGCGGCCUACUGGGCACCAACUGACGCUGAGGCUCGAAAGUGUGGGUAGCAAACAGG
RNAcentral lists this ribosomal RNA (253 nucleotides) under Faecalibacterium prausnitzii. RNAcentral describes it as "partial 16S ribosomal RNA". It matches the Rfam family "Bacterial small subunit ribosomal RNA", at positions 524 to 776 of the family's 1533-position model. Lineage: Bacteria; Bacillati; Bacillota; Clostridia; Eubacteriales; Oscillospiraceae. The record is from RNAcentral.